Molecule: long non-coding RNA, 5132 nt
Filed under: Podarcis lilfordi (Lilford's wall lizard)
Lineage: Eukaryota; Metazoa; Chordata; Lepidosauria; Squamata; Lacertidae
Source: RNAcentral
CGCUUCUUAGAAAACAGGAUCCAGCCGAGCAAUGGCGUCUCUCCGGAGGCGCCGAAGAGGCAGCACCGCGAAAGAUGUCAUCCCUUUUCUGCUCCCUGUAGUGCUGUUUCCAGAGACCCACAAUCCUCCCCUCAGAUGAACAACUCUUCCCCAGCUUCAUAGGGCGUUUUGGCUCUCUCCCCCGCCAAAACAGUCCCGUCGCCCCAAUAUAAUUCAUGUCAUUGAACGUAGUUCAUAAUUUAAACUCGGUUCAAAAGGCUGGCAGAAAAGCUCCCCCCCCCCCCCCGACAGAGAUAUAGGAGAAAGCGCCUGAGGUAAGAAAGAUUUAGCUGCCACACUGACUGGAAGUCUCCCAAGUUCUCCACAGACCUCUACCUCAGAGCCGUGGUGAGGUGACAGGAAUCGUAAUCUGUGUGGAAGAAUAAACGGGCUUUCGUGACAGAUAACAGAUAUCAACACAAGUGACAUCUAUAAAACAUUGGAAGCUGCCACCCAAUGCUAUACCCACAUUGUCACGAUAUGGCUCUCAAAUGCCCUCUUUUGUCAGGCAGCCUGCCCAUCUCCACCCUGGCACACAGGGCUGGAUUUAGAGGAAGAGGCUACUCCACUUGUGAGGCCCCUCUCCAUCCCCCACCCUCACAACCAGAAGAAAAUGGAAGAGUAUUAUAAACAAAACUGAGUGAAGCCAAGGAUGAUGACGGGUAUUUAAAAUGCUACAAUUCACAAUUUCUCCUUUAAAGGACAUAAGAUAUUGUUAAAUACCAUGGUGAUUUUUAAAAAUGCAUAAAAUUAACACUGAAAAACUUAUGCAAUAACUGAACUUUGUAAACCUUUGAGGCCUGGGCAGGCCAGGUUGUCCUCUUAUAUACCUUCUGGGAUUUACAAGGCGUCUGACCCGCACCUGAAUCUCAUAGAUCUCCUGUAGCUGCUUCUGAUUAGUUAUCAUUUAACUCUUGGGGAAAAUAAUUAGCAUUACACAUCAUGUGCAUGGAAGUUGCCAAACCAAUUAACCAACUAGAAGGAUUACUGUUAAUAGCGCCAGGCUUCCUAUAACUUGAUAUUGCUGGAUAGUUUUGAUGAACUGCAAAAGCAUUUUUAGUUUGCUUUCUGUUGCCACCCUGGAACUUUUCCUUAUUAGUGCCACUUUGUUUUGUAUGAUUCCUUGCAAAUGAAGGAAAACAACUUUUCUGCUAGUAUAUGUUGCUAAUAUAGUUUUGGUUACUGAGGAGAAACAAGAUUGUACAAAAACAAGAUUGGAUGCAGGCCUGGCCAGGACAUAGGCAUCCUGACUGUUACAAAGGUGACCUGCAUGCUUGCUUGCUUGAUUAACAGCUGUUGGGAACUUCAAGGUCUCUGCUGUCCCUUCUUAUGGUCUUUGUACUGGACCUGGAGACUCCAAUAGAGAGCAUUCCAUGUCAAGAAGGAGGGCAAGUGGGCACUCUAUCAAAUGACAGGGCAGGAGUUACACGGAGCAGGGCCUUUUCACUGGUGGUGCCCAUUGUAAACCUUGCUCUUCCCAGACCUGCUCUCUUUUGGCCUGUAUUUUGGAGCUUUAUAAUUUAGGAAGACUCUGGAAGAACUGGUUGACAAGUCUUAUCAGUUGCUGACAUAUGAGCAGAUUUUAUUUGCUGCUAUUCUGUGCUUCUGGUGCACCAGGGUUUACACCAGCGUAAUAUAGUUGGCCAGGAUGCCAGAAAGAAUACAAUUUACAAGCUUUCUCUAUUAUCUGCACAGCAGGGGGUGUUCAGUCAACAGUGCAAAGGCUGAGCUGAAGCAUUCCCUGCUGGUUACCUGCUUUCAGCAAUAGGUAUUGCUGUUUGGUAGUACCCAAUUGGUUAGCUGUCAGAUUCUGGAGCUCCCUAUUGGUGGCUCUUAGGUAAUUCACAAAAUACAGAGUCCAUUCAUAAAACACAGUGUUCAUUCAUAAAGCAGUAACAUAAAUCUCCAUUGCUACAUAUUGGGUGUAUAUUUCAGCAGAUGAACGUACAAGUUUAAGGCCAUGGUGUAGUGUAGUGUUUAUGCGACUGUGAAUAAAAGGUGGCUGGGCUCAUUGUCCCAGGGUUUUGGGGGGAAGAGGUGACAAAACUGAUUUCCAAUAAGUCCCCCCCCCUUAUUUCCAGAACAAGUUCUUGAGUCUGUACUCUGAAUGGUGACACCAGGGACCUAGAAGGUGCAGGGCUUGUAAGUCCAACCCCUGCACAGUCUUAUCAGGGCUGACCUUAAGGCAACUGGAGCAAUUGGGCCAAAUUGGACCCCGUGGGCCGCAGACUUUGGCUGUGAACUAGGGCCCUACAAAAAUAAAUAAAUCAAGUUGUGCCCCACUGCUUCAAAUUGGGCUCCACUGGCUAGCCCUGAUUCUAAUAGUUGCUGGGCCUGAGUUGCCCUGUCCUUGCAUGAAGUCUUGGGUUUACAAUUUCGGGAGAGGGGAGACUGCGGCUCUGGGGAGCUGGCAGGCUGGCGAGGCCCCCUAGUUUUAGAGGCCCAAGUUGUCCUGCCCUCACAUGAAGUCUUGGGUUUUCAAUUUUGGGAGAGGGGAGACUGCAGCACUGGGGAGAGGGCAGGCUGGUGAGGCCCCCUAGAUUUAGAACCAAUUGUUCCAUUCCAUGACUGAGAAAAAUCCAACAAAACAGCUGUGUUGAUCUGUACCAAAAAAGCAUUCAUUGGCACCCUAGUGGCUGAUUGGUUUAUUAUGGCAUGACCUAUUGUAGAAAAUAGCUUAUGUCAACAGAUUCCUGUUGUGCUCUGAGAAAAUGUUGAAUUUAUAUGAACAAAGUUUCAAUGAACAAAGAAUUGGUCCCUUCUCAUUGACAGUCACCUUUACUUUACUUUACUUUUAAAUCCUUUAUUAGGCAUAGCACACCACACAAUAACAAACAAACAUCAUAUACAGACUGUAUAAAAUACGGGCUCAGCGAACACAAUUUAUCCCAGUCCUAUUCUUAACUCCAAGAAAUAAAUCGAUGUACAUAGAUAAUAUAAUACAACAACACAGCAACAUCACCUACCAUUAAAAACCACUAAGUCUCUUUAUCAUGGCCCAUUCUUUCUUCAUGGACAGCACUUAAAAAUUCAGCCACUAUUAUAGUGGUUUGAUCAUCGCUGUCCGCCAGCAGGUCCUGAACAGUUGGUGGAGUAAAAAUCUGUCUAUUAACUUUUAGGGCCUCGAAUAAUUGUUUUCUGGCAUAACUACCAAAAUCACAGGAAAAGAAUAUAUGCUCUAGAGUGUCGGGUUCCUGUUUUCUGCAUUUGCAGAGACGCUCUGAUUCUGGGAUAGCUAAGUAUCUUCCUCUCACUACCACCGAGGAAACAUGUUGAAUCUGGCCAACAUAAACAGCCUACACGAUUCAUGUUUCUUCAGAUUUGUCAUGUAUCCCUUUGGAAAUCUCUACACAAAGGGAGAUUUAAGUGGAUAGGAGAGCAAGUGCUGUGCUUUGCAGCCUCAAGCAUGGCGAGAACACUUUUUUCUGUAAGAGUCUUCCUGAUAAUUUCCCAUAUGUCUUUGGGAUCAGAGGUUUCAAAAUCAAUUAGAGUGAGCCCUAUCGAAUCCAGUUUUCUCCUACAAAUCAAUGAUAGAUUGUAGAUUGCACUAUCACUUAAAAGAUCGUAAAGUAGAGAAUUAGGGGAUAGGGCUCUAUAAUGGAGGAAGAUCCAAUAUUUCAAGGUCCUCAACCAUGCUCUUACUGAUAAAGGCAAUAUUCCCAGCUCACAACAUAUUGUUUCAUAUUUUACAGAGUUUGCAAGUCCUAAUAAUGACCUCAGAAGGGAGACAGUCACCUUUCUUGAGACCCUCAUUCACCAUGACAGCAAAGAAUUUGCCACUCUGGAAGUGGGACAUGGAUAUCAUGUCCCUGAAGGCCAUGUCAACAAACUUCUCUUUUUCAGGUCAGCUAUUUCGACCUCAAGGGAACAAACUUGUUCCCUGAGAGCAUAUUCCUGGAAUACCUGCCAAGCUUGCAGACAAGUAUAUGUGUGAUAUAAUAAACUAGAUAUUCUGACUUUCCACCUUCACAACUGUUUAUGAUUUUUGAGCAUGUUUACUUUGAAAGUUAGGGGAGAAGUUUGAUGGCCCUGACCUCCUUACUAAAUGUUUCUUCAGCUGGUGAUACAGACAUCCUUGUGGAGCUCCAAGGCCAGCACUUCCAUGAGGUGAGCUGAAGCAAUUUGCCUCAGGCAGUAAAUUUGACUCCCACCCUACCAUUGCGCCACUUCUGGCUGCAUUGUCCCACAGCUUUGCCUGCAUCACCGCCACCACAGAACCCUUACCCUCACUGCUAACAUUGCACCCUCACUGCUGCAUCAUUGAGGAAGUGCAGGUGCAGCUGUGGGAGAGGGUGCAGUUGAGGUAGCAGGCCAGGUGGUAGUGCAGGUGAAAUGGUGGGGACAGAGAGGGGGUCACCACCACAAGUCUGUUUUACUUUUGUACCCCUAAUUAGCUUACCCCCAACUUCUGCUUUUCCUUGUACAGGUGCUUAAUGUUUUUAUCUUGACACUUUGGACUCAGUUACAUUAGAAAAAAAGCAAAGCAGUUUAAAUGCGUUAUAACACUGUGACACCAGAUGGCACUAUAGCAUUCAGUCUUUCAGCAACAUGAUUUCCCAUUGUAAAGAGGUUUACAACGCGUUUUCCUGAAAUGUUUUUUUGAUGUGUCUAGGUCCAGCCUUUGACACUGGGGUUGAAAUGAUUUGUCAGAUGGGGCUCCCUGCAUAUUCACUGAAUAUUUGCUGAUCAUUCUCAUUGUAGCUUGUUUUGCUGGCACCCAUGUUGUUGUUGUUUAGUCGUGUCCGACUCUUCGUGAUCCCAUGGAGCAGAGCAUGCCAGGCACUCCUGUCUUCCACUGCCUCCCGCAGUUUGGUCAAACUCAUGCUGGUAGCUUCGAGAACACUAUCCAACCAUUUCGUCCUCUGUCAUCCCCUUCUCCUUGUGCGCUCCAUCUUUCUCAACAUCAGGGUCUUUUCCAGGGAGUCUUCUCUUCUCAUGAGCUGGCCAAAGUAUUGAAGUCUCAGCUUCAGGAUCUGUCCUUCCAGUGAGCACUCAGGGCUGAUUUCCUUAAGAAUGGAUAGGUUUGAUCUUCUUGCAGUCCAUGAGACUCUCAAGAGUCUCCUCCAGCACCAUAAUUCAAAAGCAUCAAUUCU